Mauremys mutica (yellowpond turtle) is the source of this 1532-nucleotide long non-coding RNA. RefSeq lists it as uncharacterized. Lineage: Eukaryota; Metazoa; Chordata; Testudines; Geoemydidae. The transcript is spliced from 3 exons. The record is from RefSeq and is a predicted model, not a curated record.
GUUCAGGUGAGAGCUUCCUGAGAAUGGAGGAGAAAUGGAUGGUGCAGCAGAGAGUUGCCAGAGGGGAAAAGCUGCAGAAAAGUUGAAGCUUUGCAUCCUGCCUAGGAAACAGAGCAUCAGCCUUUUGGCUCCACGGUGGCCUGACACAUGAGGCCAAGUAAGAUCUGCCACCUGGAACAGCACUUUUACCUUCUCUGGGCCUGCAGGAGGGGUCAUUGGUGCACACACGUGCUCCAAGCCAGGCAUAGCUCAUCCUGAAACAAGGUGGAUCCCACAGCCAGGUGCCACCCUGUAAUGGAUCAGUGCAGAUGGAUCGACCACUGAACUGGGAACCUGUGACAUCAAAGAUGGGGUAUUGCAGGUUCAAGCUGUGUGGAUGGGUCAGAGGGUCUGAGGCAGAGGAGCUGGCCGGAGGCGUGCUGUGCUCCCAGGGCAUGAGGAAGGGGACUGUGGAGCAGGAUCACACACAAGGGAAAGAAGCAGAAUGCCCCCUCCUGUUUGCACCUACUUGAACUGCUGCAGAGUCGCCAGGAGGUACAUCAGUCCCCGAGUUUCACUAGCGAGUAGGAUUUGCCCUUCCUCUUCCCUCAUCCAGCUCUGCAGGGUUUCACCCGGUGAUGCCCCUGUUGUACCAUUCAAAACUUGCAUGCCUGGGAGCAGCACCUCCCUGCCCCAGCGGCUGGGUGAAAGCCCCACACAGGAACCCAUCCCAGCUGGGGAAGUUCAUGCUGGAGUCUGGCUUCUGCUACUGCCCUACAACCUGGCUUUCUUCUGCCUGCGGCUUUGGGAUGGGUGGAGAGGAUCUCAGGGCCCAGGGGAGGAGACCUUGGCAAUACAACAUCAUGGUGCAGGUGCCACCACGCUGUGGGAGGCAGACCGCUCGCCCUGCAGCUGCAAAGCCAGGCUUAGGCUAGCCCUGCUUGCUCAUGGAUCCAUCACUGAAAUAGUGCAGCCAGGAGCCACUCAUGCCAUGUGCCUUGCCCCUCCAUCUCACAUGCUCUCUUGGAGUCACCCAGCAGAGGGAGAAGGCUCACAGACCUGUCAGGCCAUUGCUUGCCUGGCAGCAUCAGAGCUGCUGAUGAGGAUAAACAAGACAGAGCUUGUGUGUCUCAGGAGCCAUAGGAAACAUAAGCCUGGGGGGACUGGAGGACUGAGAGUGGGCUAGGAAAUCUGUCAUGGCUAAGGGACCUAGUCAAAUCAAGAACCAGUCCGUAGUGGCCAAAAGGAACUGCCGUGUGAGGGGUGUGUGAAGACCUGUAUGGAACGAGUUGCCACGUCUCAGCCUGGUGCCUAAUGCACAUCCUCAAAAUCACCAGCGUGUUUCAUCCAUCUCCACAGAGACAGCAAAAGCACCAAGAAGCCCAUGGAAAGUGCAAUUCUCUCACCCAUCUCCAGGCCUGUUACCAUGUAGAAGAGAGGAGUUCAGUGUCAUUCCAGGGCUAAAUUCACUGAAGAAAGAGAAAUACUGAGCAGGGGAAAGGGCAAAACAUGGGAGGAAAAGAUGUGAUUUUUUUUUCCAUAGUAGUAUAAAA